Long non-coding RNA from Cyprinus carpio (common carp), 428 nucleotides. RefSeq lists it as uncharacterized. The record is from RefSeq and is a predicted model, not a curated record. The transcript has 2 exons. NCBI's taxonomy places the organism in Eukaryota, Metazoa, Chordata, Actinopteri, Cypriniformes, Cyprinidae.
CAAAACUUUUGGCCACGACUGUACAUCAGCCUCAGCUACAGGUGAUAUCAUAGUGAUAUUUGUAUACUGAAUUGUGAUUGGUUCGUCUCGUAACUCUUUCCAAGCAUUGACACUUCCUUCAGGUGUCACAAAGCUCAAGACAACCCAAUAUAUAUAUUUACUUCCUCUUUUGACAGACACUCUCUUCUGUGUUUGUCUGUAUAUCGGACACCAAAUUACAGAUUUAUUUUCUCUUUAAAUCAGGUCAAAAAUGGCAAACAUAAAGGGCCCAUUGCUGUUGCGUCUGGGUAUCAUAAUGACGUUGGCAGGUGUCAUCUCUCUUGGCGUUAUGUUUUUCUGGUUCUCACCUUCAAAAAACUGUCCACAGCAAAUGUAAAUGCCCUUUCACACCAAAGAGUGUAAUGAAUAAACCUCAGUUUGAAGGAAAA